Molecule: transfer RNA, 78 nt
Filed under: bacterium
Lineage: Bacteria
Description: tRNA-Asp
Rfam family: tRNA
About the family: Transfer RNA (tRNA) molecules are approximately 80 nucleotides in length. Their secondary structure includes four short double-helical elements and three loops (D, anti-codon, and T loops).
Source: RNAcentral
GGGAGCGUAGCUCAGACUGGUUAGAGCGCUUGCCUGUCACGCAAGAGGUCGCGAGUUCGAUCCUCGUCGUUCCCGCCA